RNAcentral lists this ribosomal RNA (253 nucleotides) under uncultured bacterium. RNAcentral's name for it is "partial 16S ribosomal RNA". It matches the Rfam family "Bacterial small subunit ribosomal RNA", at positions 524 to 776 of the family's 1533-position model. The record is from RNAcentral.
UACGAAGGGGGCUAGCGUUGUUCGGAAUUACUGGGCUUAAAGAGUUCGUAGGCGGCAUGAAAAGUAGGGUGUGAAAGCCCUCGGCUCAACCGAGGAAUUGCGCUCUAAACUGUCGUGCUCGAGGAAUCUAGAGGUGAGCGGAACUGAUGGUGGAGCGGUGAAAUGCGUUGAUAUCAUCAGGAACACCGGAGGCGAAGGCGGCUCACUGGGGAUUUUCUGACGCUGAGGAACGAAAGCCAGGGGAGCGAACGGG